GUGCCCUUUUUUUGGGCCAAAAGUUAAACUUUUCACACUCCCGACCUCCUUUCCCUCUCCCUCUCCUUCUUUCUUUGCUCUCAUCUGCCAUCUCUUCCUCAUCGAACAAACCAAAUUGUGGAGCUCAGAUUCUUUAGCUCUGAGCAAAAAAAAUCCACUCACCACGGAUGGGUUUUUCCAGUCCUUCCCUUCAAUUCCAGUGAUUCAAAAUUUUGUUGUGUGUGUGGCUGUAAAUUCGAUAUAGGGAUUUAAUUGGGAAGGAGUUGUUGGAGAAGGAGGUGACGAAGGCUGCAGAGCCGCUGUUGUCUCGCACACUAACCCCAUGAACCCAAGACACCCAUUUCUCCAGAACGCACUCAACUUCUUCUUCACCAAUCGUUCGCUGCCGCUUUAGGGCUCGCUGUCCCUUAACGACACUCCGGCCUCCGUCGUUGAUUCCAAGAGCGGUGUGUUGUUUCCCUCGGUCUUGGCCAGGACUCGGCGACUUCUGGGAAUUGGGUUGAGGAGAAAACGCGUGCUGGGGUUGUAGAACAUCGAUUUGUAUUCAUAUGGUAUCUAAACAGAUAGUGAAAGACAUGACGACUGC
Molecule: long non-coding RNA, 586 nt
Organism: Rosa rugosa (rugosa rose)
Lineage: Eukaryota; Viridiplantae; Streptophyta; Magnoliopsida; Rosales; Rosaceae
Exons: 3
Source: RefSeq, a predicted model, not a curated record